Lolium perenne is the source of this 315-nucleotide non-coding RNA. Lineage: Eukaryota; Viridiplantae; Streptophyta; Magnoliopsida; Poales; Poaceae. The record is from RefSeq and is a predicted model, not a curated record.
GGAGGAAUCGUCGCCUCCUCAACAAAAUGUUGAUACAUCUACUCCUCCUUCGAGCCCCCGUGCCCCUUCACCAAAAAGGGCACGGGUUGAAAAGAUUGUUGAUCCUGCCCCUCAGUUGGGCAGUUCGUCGACUCUGCUCUUAGAUGAUCCAAUGAUCAAAGAGCUUCUUCGGAUCGGGUCCCAAUUUGUUGGGUACCGUGAAUAUGCCGCCAGAGCCGAAGAAAAACUUUCAGAGGCCAACGAACGUGUCGACGCACUUGCUCAAAAACUCGAGCAAAGUGAGGCGGCUCGCAAGAAAGCUGAACUUGCUGCUAG